Molecule: ribosomal RNA, 497 nt
Filed under: uncultured bacterium
Lineage: Bacteria
Description: partial 16S ribosomal RNA
Rfam family: Bacterial small subunit ribosomal RNA
Source: RNAcentral
GAUGAACGCUGGCGGCGCGCCUAAUACAUGCAAGUCGAGCGAACAGACGAGGAGCUUGCUCCUCUGACGUUAGCGGCGGACGGGUGAGUAACACGUGGAUAACCUACCUAUAAGACUGGGAUAACUUCGGGAAACCGGAGCUAAUACCGGAUAAUAUAUUGAACCGCAUGGUUCAAUAGUGAAAGACGGUUUUGCUGUCACUUAUAGAUGGAUCCGCGCCGCAUUAGCUAGUUGGUAAGGUAACGGCUUACCAAGGCAACGAUGCGUAGCCGACCUGAGAGGGUGAUCGGCCACACUGGAACUGAGACACGGUCCAGACUCCUACGGGAGGCAGCAGUAGGGAAUCUUCGGCAAUGGGCGAAAGCCUGACGGAGCAACGCCGCGUGAGUGAUGAAGGUCUUCGGAUCGUAAAACUCUGUUAUUGGGGAAGAACAAAUGUGUAAGUAACUAUGCACGUCUUGACGGUACCUAAUCAGAAAGCCACGGCUAACUACGUG